CAUUUUGUGUCUGUUGGCGGAAAUAGCUGUUCUCAUAGACCAGCUGAGACACCUGUUUUUGCAACCUAUCAUUCUCCUCCAUCAAUAACUUAUUCAUCGCCGUCAACUUCCUAUUCACAGCUUGAAGCCGCGAUGCCUCUGUUCUCUGCUUCUCUCUACAUCGUCGGUUCUGAAACCAAACUUUGAUCUGCUUAGGCUCUAUAUUGG
RNAcentral lists this unclassified non-coding RNA (207 nucleotides) under Hevea brasiliensis (rubber tree). Lineage: Eukaryota; Viridiplantae; Streptophyta; Magnoliopsida; Malpighiales; Euphorbiaceae. The record is from RNAcentral.